This 386-nucleotide long non-coding RNA is filed under the name Helianthus annuus (common sunflower). Its description in RNAcentral is "hypothetical non coding rna". The record is from RNAcentral. Lineage: Eukaryota; Viridiplantae; Streptophyta; Magnoliopsida; Asterales; Asteraceae.
CCGCAGGCGGAAUGGACUGCUGUUGCGGCUUGAACCGGUGGUUGACGGCUAGAAUUGGGUUUGAAGACCGGUCGGUUCGAUGAUGGUGAUGAAGACGGAUUGCAGACGAUGGCAAUGAAGAAGGACACGAUAUGGACAUAUGGUGAUGUGAAGACGUCGAUUUUAAUAUGAAAAAUCUUAAUGUGUAAAGCUAAAUAAAGUCAAUAUAUGAAAAUAAAGAAAGAUCAAAGAGAAAGAAAUCGCAUGGGAGAAAGCAAAAAAAAACUCUGUAUUUUUUGUUAACACAUUGUAAGCAAAAAUAAUAAUGAUGGUAAUAUAAUAGAAUAGAAUAUGACUUAAAUAUUACUUAAAAUUUGAUUCGUUAAAUAAUUUUAUGUUUGAACUUC